This is a long non-coding RNA of Monopterus albus (swamp eel), 1086 nucleotides long. RefSeq lists it as uncharacterized. Lineage: Eukaryota; Metazoa; Chordata; Actinopteri; Synbranchiformes; Synbranchidae. The transcript has 2 exons. The record is from RefSeq and is a predicted model, not a curated record.
UGACAGCAGAGACGACUGUGUUGAGAGAGGAGCUCACCUGGUGAUCAUAACCAGCGAGUAGGAACAGAAAUUCAUCACUAAUCUGAACUGGUAUGGAGAUUCAUGGAUCGGUCUACAGCCUGUAUAUGAACAAUGGAGAUAUACAUGGAAAUGGUUGGAUGGAUCAGCAUUGACACAAGGGUGAGAGGGUUUGUCUUUCUAUCACAGUGUCAGAAACCAACAGAACCAAGUGUUAAAGGUAGGACAGCAACACAUGGUGAAAUGAUUGGAUCAGUGUUUGUUGUUUAACAGCCCCCAGAUGUUGAAUCAAAUAAAAGAAAGUAAGAAAAAAUCCUUGUUUAGACAAAGAGCUGGACAUGAACUCUCUUCACCUUCAGUCCGUGAUGAGGUCGAGAAACAGAGUUUGAAGGAGUCAGGAUUCAGAAACGGUUCAAACCACUGGUCACAGUUCAGCUUAUUGAAUGUUUGCUGCCGUCUGUGUCCUCAGACAGAACAAACAUGGUGGAAGUAAAGAAACCAAACUGGUUCUGAGCUUCAGAAGUCACACAGAUGUGACUGCAGCUCCUUCAGCUGUAGCCCAGCAUGAAGGACGACCUGUCUCUUCUCUGCUGGGUCUAAAGCUCAGGACAUAAGAAGGACAAAGCUGAACAUGACCAUCAGUCCAGGGAUGGAUGAAGAGAGCAGCUUUCCAACUAGUUUGUUCUGCUGGCAAACUGAGGUUCUGCAACACAAAUCCCUGUGAGCCCCAAAGUCUUUUCCUCAUCAACAGCCAUUUAAAACUGCUGUGUGUCAAAGUGCUGACAACACAGCUCACACAGCAGGAGGGCAGCUACUGCUCCCUCAUCAUCACCUUUUAAAGCAUUAAGACCCAACCUGUGUAAAACCCACUGGGCUCAGGCAGAGAAACACCACUGAGCUGAACAACCAGGAGUCAGACCUGGAAGAGAAAAAAUGUGGUGGAGUACGAGCAGAGGAACGUUCACUGGAAUGAACGGACGCCAUCUCUGAGUCCUGGAUUCAGGUUUCAUAAUACAGCUGGGACCAGACCUAUACCCACAAUCCUUUGUGUUGAGCUGUUUGCAAAUC